ACCACUAGGGUUCUCAUCUUGUCAGUUGGUGUCUUCUCAAUUGAUAAGUCUUUCCUUACUCCAAUCUCCGACGUUUUGAGUUUUGGCCUUUCGAAGCAUCGGGCACACUGAUAGCAGAUGGACUGAAGAUGGGCUGCCAGGACGGGAAGAAAUGUACCUGUUUAUAGGAUUUACCCUGGUGCACUGUUCUUAUUUUCUUCAUGCACAGUAUGUCUUGACUCCAUCACUAUGUGUAGAGAGUUUAUAUUUUAUGGACCAUCUCCAGCACAGAAUCAUUGGAAGGAACAAAGAAGACAGGAGAUGUCUGACUGGACUCCCAGGCUAGGGGAGUCUGCCUUCCACACAUAUCCCGGGGGUUCUCUGGAGCUCCCUGUCAGGCUGGUGACCGCUGGAUUGGAAGGAGUGAAUGCUUAGCUGGUCUCGUCCACUGCUGUGCUUUGGGGGAGUGGCCCUAUUGCUCUUUCUGGGAUGCCUCAUGUUUCCCCUCAGAGCAUGGAUGCGUUUAAUACUGCCCUCGGUAUACGGGUGGGCUGUGCUUCCCCAAACACCAUCAUUUGCAGGCCCCUUCAUGGAUUUUGCCAUAUCCAUGUACCACCAAAACUAUAAUUGACCUGAUACUUUUCUUUAGAUGUCUCAUUUUAAACUGAAAGGUCCAAGGAAAUGCAUCCCUUCCCCCUAGGUGGUGAUGUAUUGGUGCAUCUGGUUCCUGGGAACUGUCUUGGGAUCCUUGUUGUCUUCAUUUAGUGCAAGAAGGCUUGAUCCUCACCCUGAGUUCUUCACUUAGAAACCACAAUCACUAAGGAACGAGAACCUGGUAUCGUUCAGGUACUGAUCUUGUGUGUCUUCCUGAUGUUAUCCAAUCCUUAUUACAGCUCUGUGGGUGGGUAUUCCUAUUCUCAUAGGAAAUUGAGACAUGGACAACACGCUAGUUACUUGCCCAAGUUCCCACAGUUGGUAAAUGGUUGAGCUGAAUUUCAUCUCACUCUAUUUCCAAAGCCAAUUUAUGUGAUCUUGUGUGUCUUUUGAAAUUAAAAGUAAAAUGAUACAAAGCUAUAGUUAAGAGAUAAUGACUAGGGCAGCAUAUGUGCUGUGGAAGGACUCAGUGUGCAGGGGGAAGGCAGACAGUGGACAGAAGAGUACAGUGCAGUAGGCCGUGUUAUGAUAGAGGCAUGAGCAAGGUGAUAUAUUCUGGCAUAUGGGAAUACAGGGAAAUCAGAGAACGUGUGGGCCAUAAGUCCAGGGGAGUGGGGACUGAAGGAGAAGAUGGAGUGGAUAAGAGGGGCAUUCCGAGUCCUCCUUUUCUGAUACCCUGGGGAAUGUUGUUGACCCCGCUGGGCACCCUGUGUCCCCUUCUGAUUAUUUACAUGCCAUCCAGUAACAUUCACUCCAUGGGCUCUCUUCUUGAGGAGCUGGCCCUGCCUGGGACCUUCUUCUGGGGUAGAGCUGGGCCACAGUGGAACGGGUGGAGGAGGACGGGGGCAAGGGUGCAGGCAGAAGCACAAGCUGGA
Rhinolophus ferrumequinum (greater horseshoe bat) is the source of this 1508-nucleotide long non-coding RNA. RefSeq lists it as uncharacterized. The transcript is spliced from 3 exons. NCBI's taxonomy places the organism in Eukaryota, Metazoa, Chordata, Mammalia, Chiroptera, Rhinolophidae. The record is from RefSeq and is a predicted model, not a curated record.